This is a long non-coding RNA of Pezoporus occidentalis (night parrot), 1024 nucleotides long. RefSeq lists it as uncharacterized. Lineage: Eukaryota; Metazoa; Chordata; Aves; Psittaciformes; Psittacidae. The record is from RefSeq and is a predicted model, not a curated record. The transcript has 3 exons.
GUGAGGUUCAUCAGUGAGGGGGUGCAAACUCCUCAUCCCACCACCAGCCCCAGCUGGCAGCUCCUGCCCAUGCUGGGGAGGCAGGAGCCGACUGGCUGGCAGCCCCAUGUUGGGGGAGAUGGCUUUGCUGGCACUGAGCAUCUGUUUGAACCUAUUCCAGUCUUGCUGGGUCCUCCCAAGCACAUUUCCAAGCACUCUGGGUCCCCGCUGGCAUAUUUCUCUGUACAUUGCCCAGCUCAAUAAAUUGUGAAGGCACGUUUGCCCCAGCUCCACAGCUGGUCCGUCUGUCUGUCCGCCUGCCCGACUGAAGCUGGGGUGUGUGUCCCUGGUCAAGGGGAGACAGCAUCGGGUGGCGGCAAUGGUUGCAGUAGGUUUUGUUGUUGUUUCCCCAGAUCGCUGUGCAAUAUAUUCCGAUUUUUUUUCUUGUCAUUAAGCCAGUGCCUCAGAGAUGAUGAUGUAGUCCCUAUGUGGGCCGCAGAAAGCACUUCGAGCCGUGCUGGAGUCGUGCUGGGUGGCUCUGAUAGCAGAGCUAAUGGGAGCGAAUGGGAUGCAACGAACUGUUCUAAUGACACCAGCCAGGGAAGAGACAACACUUCCUAAUGACAGACACAGUCUCUGGGCAGUGAAUCAACAACCUCAGGUAGAGGUGAGCAAGUGCCAGAUGCUGUUAUUGAUGUUCCUGCUGACACCCUCCCUCCAGGCAUUGCAGCCCUGGGGGCUGGAAAACACAGGGCCAGGUUCCCUGGACAGGGGCCAGAGAAGAUGCUGGAUUGAGGCCUCCCAGCAGGAUUUCUACCUGCAACCACAGCUCUUGAGAAGAUCCACCCUUGUUUUCCAUAUGGGCUCUACAAAGAAGUGGUGGCAGUGAUGGAACACUGACGGCAUUGGAGAGCUGCUGAUUGUGCUGCCAACUACCAUCAGGGCUUGAAAGACAGAUCAAUUUCUUUAUCUGCUUUGCACAAGUGUGAGGACACCAAGGCAAGAGCCACUCACAAAUUGUUGUGAGUGGUCCAGCACAGGAAAA